RNAcentral lists this ribosomal RNA (876 nucleotides) under Alteromonadales bacterium HOT3B9. Its description in RNAcentral is "bacterial SSU rRNA". It matches the Rfam family "Bacterial small subunit ribosomal RNA", at positions 91 to 968 of the family's 1533-position model. Lineage: Bacteria; Pseudomonadati; Pseudomonadota; Gammaproteobacteria; Alteromonadales. The record is from RNAcentral.
ACGAGUGGCGGACGGGUGAGUAAUGCUUGGGAACUUGCCUUUGCGAGGGGGAUAACAGUUGGAAACGACUGCUAAUACCGCAUAAUGUCUUCGGACCAAACGGGGCUUCGGCUCCGGCGCAAAGAGAGGCCCAAGUGAGAUUAGCUAGUUGGUAAGGUAACGGCUUACCAAGGCGACGAUCUCUAGCUGUUCUGAGAGGAAGAUCAGCCACACUGGGACUGAGACACGGCCCAGACUCCUACGGGAGGCAGCAGUGGGGAAUAUUGCACAAUGGGGGAAACCCUGAUGCAGCCAUGCCGCGUGUGUGAAGAAGGCCUUCGGGUUGUAAAGCACUUUCAGUUGUGAGGAAAAGUUAGUAGUUAAUACCUGCUAGCCGUGACGUUAACAACAGAAGAAGCACCGGCUAACUCCGUGCCAGCAGCCGCGGUAAUACGGAGGGUGCGAGCGUUAAUCGGAAUUACUGGGCGUAAAGCGCACGCAGGCGGUUUGUUAAGCUAGAUGUGAAAGCCCCGGGCUCAACCUGGGAUGGUCAUUUAGAACUGGCAGACUAGAGUCUUGGAGAGGGGAGUGGAAUUCCAGGUGUAGCGGUGAAAUGCGUAGAUAUCUGGAGGAACAUCAGUGGCGAAGGCGACUCCCUGGCCAAAGACUGACGCUCAUGUGCGAAAGUGUGGGUAGCGAACAGGAUUAGAUACCCUGGUAGUCCACACCGUAAACGCUGUCUACUAGCUGUGUGUGUCUUUANGACGUGCGUAGCGAAGCUAACGCGCUAAGUAGACCGCCUGGGGAGUACGGCCGCAAGGUUAAAACUCAAAUGAAUUGACGGGGGGCCCGCACAAGCGGUGGAGCAUGUGGUUUAAUUCGAUGCAACGCGAAGAA